CUCAUCACACAGAGCUGCAGCUGUGAUCACCUUGUGCUCUGAGGGGAGGCAGCUCACACCUUCCCCACAGGCAGAGGGGAAUUCUCCCCCAGCAUGAACAGAGUUAAAGGAAGAAAGUGGGAAUUUUCAAGUGUCAAUUGGAGUUGUAACUAUGUGUGACAAGGAGCUGUGCUGGGAGAUUGAAGCGAGUGAUUUCUCUCCUCUGUAACCAAGUGGAAGCAAAGAAAUCAGGUUCAAAAGUUCUCCUGUACUUGGAAGUCACAAUAUGCACUGCUGAACCCCUAAAAUGUUGUGGAUGCCCUGGUUUCUUCAGAGGAUAAGAAUUCUAGAUUUCUGAGCUGAAAGAGCUUUAUUAUGAAGUGACAUGUCUGGCUUUAGAGACAGAGGUGGAAUUGGUACAUCUGAAAUUAAUGAAUAAUAUAUAAAGACUGAUACCAGCUUUGCUUCAUGAGUUGGCCUUACUAUUUAGCCUCAAGCAGAAGCAAGAAACACACACACACAAAAAAAAAAGGUUGUUAA
RNAcentral lists this long non-coding RNA (519 nucleotides) under Cyanistes caeruleus (blue tit). RNAcentral describes it as "lncRNA (ENSCCEG00000008467.1)". The record is from RNAcentral. Lineage: Eukaryota; Metazoa; Chordata; Aves; Passeriformes; Paridae.